Serinus canaria (Common canary) is the source of this 1703-nucleotide long non-coding RNA. The record is from Ensembl. NCBI's taxonomy places the organism in Eukaryota, Metazoa, Chordata, Aves, Passeriformes, Fringillidae.
CUCAAGAAACAUGUGCAGUAGGAAACAGUGUCACAUACUCACAUCCUGACUCCUCCUGGGUUAGCCUGGAACUGGAGGACUCUUACAAUGCUGGAGAAAAUUUUCACUGCUGGGCUUUUCUCAGGAGAUGGAUUGCUUAUUUCAGCUUCUUGAUUCAUUCAGAAUUAUGGUGAUUUUGUCCUACUCGUCCAAAGUUCUCCUAUGUAAGAACUUCAUUCAAAACCAGUUUGCUUUCUUCUUUUUCACUAGGGUGCAAGAAUUAGAAGAACGUGCAGGUGCAAACUUUUGCUAAACCGAAAUCACAGGAAAAUGAUGGUGAUGGUUUCCUGAAAUCCAGAUCAGGUCUCUUUGGGAAAGACCACAGUCAAGUCCACCUACAGCACCCUGACUUGCAUCCUGCUGAGCACAGUGUGCAGCAGCUGGAGUCACUGGAGUCAGUGUCAGAGGAUCUUCAUCUGCCUCCAGAGGUCCAAGCUCCUGCCAGUGCCUGGAGAGGCUCAGCUCAGCUGCACUCAGCUGAAGGAUCAGGUACGACUGCAAACACCACACAUCUGAGAGUAAGGUUUUGUACUUCCCUAUCACUUUCCAUGCAUAAAUUCCACUGCUUCUAGAAAAAUACUAGUAGUGAGAAAAUAUGUGCAAUAUUUUUGGGACAUAAUUCUGUGAGCCAACCUGGCAUUAGUAACUUGUUGUUCUCUCUUUAUCUCCUUAAAACCUUCCUGAAGAUUCAUGAAUGAAAAUAUCCUCUUGUGGCUUGGAUUAAUGUAGGCAAGGAAGGGUCCUUCCCUCAGUGGGGAGGAGCCUAGAUUUUUCUUGUCAGCCCCCAUUUCUGGCACAGAACAACUCUGGACUUUGAACACCAUUUGUAGUUUUCAAGGGUCACAGAUUUGCUGUGCCUGAGGUGGACUGCUGAUAUGGAUGUUCCAUUUGGAAGACAUCUGUCCCAUAGAGCCUCAGCCUCUGAAAACAACAGCAUCCAAACCAACCUGAUCUUCACCAAGGCACCACUUUCCAAAAGAGGGCAAUGUCAGGAAGACUCCUUGUGCCAACCAGCCUUUAAUCUACUGGGUGAGCUGUCUGUUGGGAAGAGGAUAAGGUAUGAGUUUGAAAACUUCUGGCUAGGGGACAGGAUGUGUACCCAGGUAAGUGAACAAGGCAGCUUCUGGGAAAAAAAACCAAAAAAACCCAAUGCAAAAAAAUACACUAUCUCUUUCCUUUCAUCCUUCCCCCUUUUCUCUUUUGUUUCAGCCAAAAACUACAGUACAUGCUACCAAGUUCAGAUAUAUGGUCAGAGCAUUGCCUAUUAAGUAGCCAUCAGAAGGGACAGAACCCAGCUCAUGAAAAUAUUAACAUCUUAGGUGGCGUUAGGAAAAAGAGACACACACACAGAACCCAAGAAACCAGGAGAUCUUCUGAACAAAUAUAAGAUUUUUGAUAGCCAGGUAGCUAUUUCUGCAGUGAAAUUAAUCCAGGACAGGGAGCAUAAGAUCAGUGGAAAUAAUAUAUAUCUAUAUAUCUAGAUAAUAUGUAAUAAUCAGGAACUGAGGGACAGCAGAGAUGAGGCUUAUUGUGUCAGCAAGCCCUAUGCGACAGUCCCAACAUCUGGGCCUCUGCUCUUCUGGAGCCCUGUGGUAGGGGCUCAUCCCAGGCCCUGCAUGUGGAGAAAAGCUUUGGAAUGUGAACACAAAGUACCACACUUGCAG